CCCAGGCAAAAAAUUUAGUAAUUAAACCCAUUAUGGCAGGGGCUGGCCCGGAUGACUGCCACAGCAAACUCCGCAGCUCAUGGGUCCUGGGUUCCCUGCCUUGGGACCUGGGGAUAAGUUUGGCUACGGACAGGG
Molecule: small nucleolar RNA, 135 nt
Filed under: Moschus moschiferus (Siberian musk deer)
Lineage: Eukaryota; Metazoa; Chordata; Mammalia; Artiodactyla; Moschidae
Description: Small nucleolar RNA SNORA5 (ENSMMSG00000011358.1)
Rfam family: Small nucleolar RNA SNORA5
About the family: ACA5 is a member of the H/ACA class of snoRNA that guide the sites of modification of uridines to pseudouridines.
Source: Rfam by way of RNAcentral